UACGUAGGGGGCGAGCGUUGUCCGGAGUUACUGGGCGUAAAGAGCUUGUAGGCGGUUUGUCGCGUCUGCUGUGAAAUUUCGGGGCUCAACCCCGAACUUGCAGUGGGUACGGGCAGACUAGAGUGUGGUAGGGGAGACUGGAAUUCCUGGUGUAGCGGUGAAAUGCGCAGAUAUCAGGAGGAACACCGAUGGCGAAGGCAGGUCUCUGGGCCGUAACUGACGCUGAGAAGCGAAAGCAUGGGGAGCGAACAGG
This 253-nucleotide ribosomal RNA is filed under the name uncultured bacterium. RNAcentral describes it as "partial 16S ribosomal RNA". It matches the Rfam family "Bacterial small subunit ribosomal RNA", at positions 524 to 776 of the family's 1533-position model. The record is from RNAcentral.